RNAcentral lists this ribosomal RNA (317 nucleotides) under uncultured Chlorophyta. Its description in RNAcentral is "bacterial SSU rRNA". It matches the Rfam family "Bacterial small subunit ribosomal RNA", at positions 376 to 707 of the family's 1533-position model. The record is from RNAcentral. Lineage: Eukaryota; Viridiplantae; Chlorophyta.
CGAAAGCCUGACAGAGCAAUACCGCGUGAGGGAUGAAGGCUCGUGGGUCGUAAACCUCUUUUUUCAAGGAGGAAGUUCUGACGUGUACUUGAAGAAUAAGCAUCGGCUAACUCCGUGCCAGCAGCCGCGGUAAGACGGAGGAUGCAAGUGUUAUCCGGAAUCACUGGGCGUAAAGCGUCUGUAGGUGGUUUAGUAAGUCUGUUGUUAAAUCUUGAGGCUCAACUUCAAAAUCGCAAUCGAAACUACUAGACUUGAGUAUGGUAAAGGUAAAAGGAAUUUCCAGUGGAGCGGUGAAAUGCGUAGAUAUUGGAAAGAAC